RNAcentral lists this transfer RNA (74 nucleotides) under Canis lupus familiaris (dog). It matches the Rfam family "tRNA". Rfam says of the family: Transfer RNA (tRNA) molecules are approximately 80 nucleotides in length. Their secondary structure includes four short double-helical elements and three loops (D, anti-codon, and T loops). Further hydrogen bonds mediate the characteristic L-shaped molecular structure. tRNAs have two regions of fundamental functional importance: the anti-codon, which is responsible for specific mRNA codon recognition, and the 3' end, to which the tRNAs corresponding amino acid is attached (by aminoacyl-tRNA synthetases). tRNAs cope with the degeneracy of the genetic code in two manners: having more than one tRNA (with a specific anti-codon) for a particular amino acid; and 'wobble' base-pairing, i.e. permitting non-standard base-pairing at the 3rd anti-codon position. The record is from Rfam by way of RNAcentral. Lineage: Eukaryota; Metazoa; Chordata; Mammalia; Carnivora; Canidae. RNAcentral also lists the same sequence under 1 other name.
GCCUGGCUGGCUCAGUUGGUAGAGCGUAUGACUCUUGAUCCUCAGGAUUGUGAGUUCAAGUUCCACAUUGGGCG